This 492-nucleotide ribosomal RNA is filed under the name Phoma sp. 211 AI-2013. RNAcentral describes it as "eukaryotic LSU rRNA". The stretch from base 147 to 300 matches the Rfam family "5.8S ribosomal RNA". Lineage: Eukaryota; Fungi; Ascomycota; Dothideomycetes; Pleosporales; Didymellaceae. The record is from RNAcentral.
AUCAUUACCUAGAGUUGUAGGCUUUGCCUGCUAUCUCUUACCCAUGUCUUUUGAGUACCUUCGUUUCCUCGGCGGGUCCGCCCGCCGAUUGGACAAUUUAAACCAUUUGCAGUUGCAAUCAGCGUCUGAAAAAACUUAAUAGUUACAACUUUCAACAACGGAUCUCUUGGUUCUGGCAUCGAUGAAGAACGCAGCGAAAUGCGAUAAGUAGUGUGAAUUGCAGAAUUCAGUGAAUCAUCGAAUCUUUGAACGCACAUUGCGCCCCUUGGUAUUCCAUGGGGCAUGCCUGUUCGAGCGUCAUUUGUACCUUCAAGCUCUGCUUGGUGUUGGGUGUUUGUCUCGCCUCUGCGCGCAGACUCGCCUCAAAACAAUUGGCAGCCGGCGUAUUGAUUUCGGAGCGCAGUACAUCUCGCGCUUUGCACUCAUAACGACGACGUCCAAAAGUACAUUUUUACACUCUUGACCUCGGAUCAGGUAGGGAUACCCGCUGAA